GAGGAAUAUUGGGCAAUGCCCGCAAGGGUGACCCAGCAACGCCGCGUGGAGGAUGAAUGUCGUAAGAUUGUAAACUCCUGUUAGAGGGGAAGAAUAGUACCGGUUGGACCGGUAUAUGACUGUACCCUCAGAGAAAGCCCCGGCUAACUACGUGCCAGCAGCCGCGGUAAUACGUAGGGGGCAAGCGUUGUCCGGAUUUACUGGGUGUAAAGGGCGCGCAGGCGGGAUAAAAAGUCAGUGGUGAAAUCCUACAGCUUAACCGUAGAACUGCCUUUGAUACUUUUAUUCUUGAGUUCGGGAGAGAGAGACGGAAUUCCAGGUGUAGUGGUGAAAUACGUAGAUAUCUGGAAGAACACCAGUUGCGAAGGCGGUCUCUUGGUCCGACACUGACGCUGAGGCGCGAAAGCGUGGGGAGCAAACA
This 421-nucleotide ribosomal RNA is filed under the name uncultured bacterium. RNAcentral describes it as "bacterial SSU rRNA". It matches the Rfam family "Bacterial small subunit ribosomal RNA", at positions 356 to 774 of the family's 1533-position model. The record is from RNAcentral.